GCUUGUAUCCAUCGCAGCGCUUAGUCCAGCGGAACGACCCGGAGAAGAUUAGCGUGGCCCCCGCGCGAGGAUGACGCGCAAAUUCGCGAAGCGACCCGUAUUUUU
This is a small nuclear RNA of Ornithorhynchus anatinus (platypus), 105 nucleotides long. The record is from RefSeq and is a predicted model, not a curated record. Lineage: Eukaryota; Metazoa; Chordata; Mammalia; Monotremata; Ornithorhynchidae.